RNAcentral lists this ribosomal RNA (446 nucleotides) under uncultured bacterium. RNAcentral describes it as "bacterial SSU rRNA". It matches the Rfam family "Bacterial small subunit ribosomal RNA", at positions 330 to 792 of the family's 1533-position model. The record is from RNAcentral.
CCCAGACUCCUACGGGAGGCAGCAGUGGGGGAUAUUGCACAAUGGGGGGAAACCCUGAUGCAGCGACGCCGCGUGGGUGAAGAAGCGCCUCGGCGCGUAAAGCCCUGUCAGCAGGGAAGAAAAUGACGGUACCUGAAGAAGAAGCCCCGGCUAACUACGUGCCAGCAGCCGCGGUAAUACGUAGGGGGCAAGCGUUAUCCGGAUUUACUGGGUGUAAAGGGGGCGCAGACGGCGAUGCAAGCCAGGAGUGAAAGCCCGGGGCCCAACCCCGGGACUGCUCUUGGAACUGCGUGGCUGGAGUGCAGGAGGGGCAGGCGGAAUUCCUGGUGUAGCGGUGAAAUGCGUAGAUAUCAGGAGGAACACCGGUGGCGAAGGCGGCCUGCUGGACUGCAACUGACGUUGAGGCCCGAAAGCGUGGGGAGCAAACAGGAUUAGAUACCCUAGUA